Molecule: ribosomal RNA, 274 nt
Filed under: uncultured bacterium
Lineage: Bacteria
Description: partial 16S ribosomal RNA
Rfam family: Bacterial small subunit ribosomal RNA
Source: RNAcentral
AUACGGAGGGUCCAAGCGUUAUCCGGAAUCAUUGGGUUUAAAGGGUGCGCAGGCGGUUUAUUAAGUCAGUGGUGAAAUCUCGGGGCUCAACUCCGAAACUGCCAUUGAUACUGAUAAACUUGAGUUCAGUUGGAGUAGGCGGAAUGUGUAGUGUAGCGGUGAAAUGCUUAGAUAUUACACAGAACACCGAUAGCGAAGGCAGCUUACUAAACUGAUACUGACGCUGAGGCACGAAAGCGUGGGGAGCGAACAGGAUUAGAUACCCGAGUAGUCC